Triangularia setosa is the source of this 96-nucleotide non-coding RNA. The record is from the annotation of a GenBank genome assembly. NCBI's taxonomy places the organism in Eukaryota, Fungi, Ascomycota, Sordariomycetes, Sordariales, Podosporaceae.
GGGUGCAUGGUCUAGUGGUAUGAUUUUCGCUUCGCAUCUUUCCCAAGACGCGAUUAAAACUGUGAACGGUCCCCGGUUCAAUCCCGGGUGCAUCCA